ACGAAUUUAUUGAAAGUCUGUGUGUCCACCACAGUCCAGGGUAUUGUGGAAUAUUCAGGGGAAAUACAAAUCCAAGAAUUAUCUCAGGAAUCAGCAUCAGAACAUAAUCCCCCAAGAGAAACUAUUCAUGGAAAGCAGUAGACUGAUAAUAACAUUUGAAAAACUGAUUUCCUAUAGAAUCAAUAGUUACUGUUUGACGAAUUAUACAAUGUAGACCUAGGUCGUGCGAUAGCUACAAAAUGCCUAAGGAAAUGGACUAGGUCGUAACAAGAAAAAGUGCUCUCAAGCCUCGGGAGAAGGGAGCAUUCUCGGCGCGGAGGGCGGAGCCUUUUCUCGAGUGGCGGCGGAUGACCCGGGCUCCUGCCCCUCAUCUCGGCGUGGGGCGCAGGCGGCGGCCGCAAGGACCGUGGAUGCUUGAAUAGCGCUUCUUGCCGGCGGGGACGGCCCCGGACAAGCACACCCGCCCGACCUCCGCCCUGUCGCAGUUCCGGGGCGUUCUGCGCUGUCGUGGUUGCUAGGUGCGCGCUCCGCCCUGGGACAGCCGCGCACCUCCAGCGGAGGGCGUUAGCACCCCAAGACGCUGCUGCAGGGGUUUGAACCGGUCCUUGGCCUGCUAGCACCGGGUCCUGGACGAAAUCUAUCGCGGUCCACCUGAGCUUCAUCUUGUGCCGUGGCACCCAUGCCUAGGUCUUGACACUUCACUCCUAUGCCCGUUAUUGCCAAGGGUCGGGAUGGCCUUCGUGUCCUCUGCAGACUUCGCCUUCCUUCUGCUGCCAACAGCUGUAGAUUUUACCUCUUUCCCCUAACUUCCUCUCAGGCUCCUACUCCAUUCCUAUCGCGACUGCUUGAGACCGGGCCACCUCCCCUGCAAAUUACCUACACCAGUGUCAAAAUCAGGUCAGGGCAAAUCCAUGCCAGAACGCAGUGACCUAACUUAAAUGCGACUCUGAUUGAGUUCUUCCUAGUUUAGAACUUUUGGUGGCUCCUGAUGGUCAAAGGGACCGAGGUCAACCUCCUCUGCCCCUUUCUAGGCACCUCAAGAUCCGAUCCCUUUAUUUUCCCCAGUCUUGACCCUUCUCUCCUGCUCCAGGGGAACGAAACACACUCCCACCUCUGGGAUAUUACUCAUCCCCAUUGCCUCACCAGUUUCUCUGUUUGAUGUUUUCACACAAUAAAAUAAAAUUAUCCAGUUUCUCUGGAUAAUUUACUUGCCUGUAAGUUGAAAACUCAUAACAGCAUAUCCUGCAGGACUGCCACCUCGGUUCAAUUAGAUGACCCUUUUGUAUCUUACAGCAGUUGCAUGUUUCUCUCCAAUGUAGUCAAGAUCACUACUCUAGCUAUUUAGUUGCCUAUUUAUCUCACUUCAUUCCCAGUAAUUUAUUAUCUGAGUACUCUGUACCAGGCACUGGGUUAAGUAGAAGUUAUGAAUACUGUACUUACAACUACCAUGUGAAGUAGCUUCUGUUACCCUCAUCAUUUACAAGUGGGCAUGUAGAGGUUAAGAGAGUUUAAUCUAUCAAUCUACAUGGCCAGGAUGCAGAGAACUCAGACAGGCAUCCUUGUUGUUGUUGGUUUUUAAUAAACCUCCAGGUGAUUCUGAUGUGCAUCCAGGAUUGAGAACCACUGCUCCAGCCUAUGAGCUCCUUCGUGACAAAGGGCCAUGUAUUUUGUCUCUGUAUCUAGUACAGUGACUGGGACAUAGCAGGUGUUCACUAAGUGUGAAAUACAUGGGAGUUUUGUCUUGUUUGGUUUUUUGAUCCUCUCCACCACUCUAGAGGGCAGGUCAUACAGGAAUCAUACUUGCCUUUUUUAGAUAUGCAAAGAGAUCCAGAAAAUUGACUUGGCAAUUCAUAAAUGGCAAUGCCAUGAUUGAAGACCAGGGACAUGUGACUCCUCUCAUGCUUUUUUCACUAUUGUAGUUUUUUCUGGGACAACUUCCCAGAAGAGGAUUUCCUUUUUAUUUUUUCCUGGAAAAGUUUGGUGAUAAGAGAUUCAUUUUUACAUCUGAUCAGAUUUAGACCCUCUAUAGUGCCAGAAUAGAGAGCAAAGAGGCACAAGAGUAGGUUCUGCUGACAAAAGAAAGUGGAAGGGGUAGCAAACCCACUUCACAACAUCAUUAUUUUGAUGUAUAGCAUCAAAAAAAUUGCUUGAGUUUCUGUAGCAAUUACUAUAUAAGUACAAUAAUGUAUCCUGAAGUCAUUCCAGGCCAUCUGGAAUAUUAUUCCCCGUGGUACCAAGCCACCAGCUGAAGAGUUUUAAGUAACAUGAUCAGAAUUGGAUUUGCUGUAUAAACACAUAAAUGUGUAUACACACAUACACACCACCACCACCAGCAACAGUGCAGGGAGUGAGUUGCAGUGAUACAAAGGAACUACAGGAAAUGUUGUCAAUAACAGGUUUGUUCCUAAUAGCAAAAGGUGGAAACAACAACCAUGUCUUCUGGCAACAGAAUGGUUAGAUUGUGAUGUUUUCACACAAUAGAUAUUACAUAGCAAUAAAAACGAAUCAAUUUUACCUUAUGUAAAAACGUGAAUGAAUCUUGGAAAUAUUACAAAAUUAUUGUCGUAUGAAAGACAAAGAAUAUGCCACCAGAAAUGUGGAAGAAAAUAUAUUAGCACCCAGGCUCUUGAUUUGUUGAAGAGAAAUGUACUAUCCAUGUUUACACUUAUAUACAAUAUCUGCAAUUUAUUAAAUUUAUUACAUAAAUAUUUGAAUGUUUAUAAUUCAUAAGGGAUCUAUAAGCAUAUAUAUGUGGGUAUGUAUGUGUGUCUGUGUCAUGGUCUAAAAUGGACUGCAAAAUCAUGAUUGAUUCCACAAAAGUACAAGUCAAGGCCGGGCAUGGUGGCUCAUGCCUGUAAUCCCAGUACUUUGGGAGGCCAAGGCAGGCAGAUCAUGAGGUCAGGAGAUGGAGACCAUCCUGGCUAACAUGAUGAAACCCUAUCUCUACUAAAAAUAAAAAAAAAAAA
Macaca fascicularis (crab-eating macaque) is the source of this 2966-nucleotide long non-coding RNA. The record is from Ensembl. Lineage: Eukaryota; Metazoa; Chordata; Mammalia; Primates; Cercopithecidae.